Molecule: long non-coding RNA, 218 nt
Organism: Engraulis encrasicolus (European anchovy)
Lineage: Eukaryota; Metazoa; Chordata; Actinopteri; Clupeiformes; Engraulidae
Exons: 3
Source: RefSeq, a predicted model, not a curated record
CUGACAGCGACAGCGAUGGUGAGGGAAGCAGUGUACCGAACUCUCAGAUGACUCGGACCAGGUGACCAAACCCAUGCAAAACACAAUGACUGUGCUGAGGCGUUCCGCCCCCCUCCCCCUCCACACCACUCAAGGCACGGCGGCGGCCCAACCGCAAACUAACGGAGAUUAACAAGAGGCUGGAUGCGCUUGGCUCCCUGCUGCGUCCAUCACCAGAG